CCUACGGGCGGCAGCAGUGAGGAAUAUUGGUCAAUGGUCGGGAGACUGAACCAGCCAAGCCGCGUGAGGGAUGAAGGUACAGAGUAUCGUAAACCUCUUUUGUCAGGGAACAAAGGCGGGGACGUGUCCCCGGAUGAGUGUACCUGAAGAAAAAGCAUCGGAUAACUCCGUGCCAGCAGCCGCGGUAAUACGGAGGAGGCGAGGUUUAACCGGAUUUAUUGGGUUUAAAGGGAGAGCAGGCGGUCGGUUAAGUAAGCGGUAAAAGCCCGGGGCACAACCCCGGCCCGCCGUUGAAACUGGCAGUCUCGAGUUAGAGAGAAGUAUGCGGAAUGCGCGGUGUAGCGGUGAAAUGCAUAGAUAUCGCGCAGAACUCCGAUUGCGAAGGCAGCAUGCCGGCUCCACACUGACGCUGAGGCACGAAAGCGUGGGUAUCGAACAGGAUUAGAUACCCCAGUAGUC
Molecule: ribosomal RNA, 459 nt
Filed under: uncultured bacterium
Lineage: Bacteria
Description: partial 16S ribosomal RNA
Rfam family: Bacterial small subunit ribosomal RNA
Source: RNAcentral